GGGCGAGUAGCUCAAUGGAUAGAGCAUCAGCCUUCUAAGCUGACGGUUGCAGGUUCGAGCCCUGCCUCGCUCA
RNAcentral lists this transfer RNA (73 nucleotides) under Edaphobacter dinghuensis. It matches the Rfam family "tRNA". Rfam says of the family: Transfer RNA (tRNA) molecules are approximately 80 nucleotides in length. Their secondary structure includes four short double-helical elements and three loops (D, anti-codon, and T loops). Lineage: Bacteria; Pseudomonadati; Acidobacteriota; Terriglobia; Terriglobales; Acidobacteriaceae. The record is from Rfam by way of RNAcentral.